AGAGAUAAAAAGCAAUGGUAAAGAUUUAAGAUGACAGAAGAAGAGAACAGCCUAAUUUAUUCUUCCUGGCUUGCGGCACAGAAUCAUGAAGGCUCUCGGUCAUAACUUCAGGGCUACACUAAAUUCCUGCCAGCCAGGAUCAGUUACAAAGGCCUCUGGAUCUUGGGAUAAUAGAAAUGAAGGUAUGGAAGGCUGAGACAGUUGACCUGCAUCAUCUUAGGAGAUUUUAUUAUCAUCUGAAUCUCAGAAUCAGGAAAUAGGUGUGAAUCUGGACCCAAACAGAAAACAAGGUGAUGCAUCUGUCUUCAAAUUUGUCUGAGAACUACUUUGUUUAAGAAAUGCAACACGGUGUAAUCAACUGCCUUGUUGAUAGUAUCUUCUCAGAGGGCCAUCAUAUUAUGUAAGGAAAACAAGAAAAAUGGCUUUAAAGCCGUAUGUUAUUUCCAACA
Molecule: long non-coding RNA, 449 nt
Organism: Canis lupus familiaris (dog)
Lineage: Eukaryota; Metazoa; Chordata; Mammalia; Carnivora; Canidae
Exons: 4
Source: RefSeq, a predicted model, not a curated record